Homo sapiens (human) is the source of this 1364-nucleotide long non-coding RNA. Ensembl annotates it as long intergenic non-protein coding RNA 1366. NCBI's taxonomy places the organism in Eukaryota, Metazoa, Chordata, Mammalia, Primates, Hominidae. The record is from Ensembl.
GGCAAUUCCGUUUUGUUUGGGACCAUGAGACCUCCCACUCCUGGGGCCAGAAGGAGUUGCUGAGAAGGAGCUGUGGUUCUGACCUUCAGGGGAAUUCCCACGUCUGUAUGGUGGCUCGUGAAGAGCAUGGUUCCUUUUCUCAGCCCUCUUGAGGGGCGAGGAUGCUGAGGACUGAAGUCGGCCGCCUUUCAUCCUUCUUCAAGUCACAGAGAGACAGAGAGGAGGGGACGAAGGACGAGCCAUGGGGUUUUGAAAGCAGGCACAGCAGCAGGGGUGCUGCCUCCAGGGGUCUGCUCUGCCAAGAGUUCCUGUCCCAGGGCCUGCUCUCUGUCAUGUGAUGCUAUACUACAGCCAGGCUGGAAUUUGGUGUCUUAUUGCUACAAAGAAUCAGCUUUGUCAAUCCUAAGGUCACUGAGAGGCUGCCAGAGGGCCAUUUUCAUGACCAGAGGGAUCUGUUCAACACCCUGUGGGUCCCAGCACCUAUCUCAGGAAGCAGGGUGCAUCUGUCCACCACCAAGUCUCAGGGUGGCUGGGUGAGCGCUCAUCAGUCCCAGACAGCAGGUUGGCACAAAACGACACUGCCCACAAAACCACAGGAAGAAGAGAAACUCCGACUGUCUUUCAGCACACAGAAGACACUGUACUGGACCCGGACAUUAGGCAGACACCCACGCCUGACUUUCAGGAGAAAAGAGAACAUGACUAACGGAUAUUCUUAGUAGAUGGUUUAUUAGAAAAGAGAACAUCUUCCAGCAUGUGUCCUGGGGUGAUGGGUGUGGGAAGCACUCAGUCCAUAGUCCUGGUCCCUGGCUUCCCCAAGCCCAGCACCAUGAAUGUACAGUGGAAAGCAGAGGGUGCAGCGUCUCAGAAAGAUGCUUCCACUCACAAGGAUUGGAGCUCACAAGUGAGCUCCAUAACCUGCAAACCAGAGAAACCUGAGACACUGCCCCUUGGCCAUUUUAUCAACGGAGACUUUAUUGUGAUUAUCCCGGCAGGGGGCCGAGCUCUCCUCUCUGCAACAGGAAAUGCUCUUUAGUGAAAAUGCAGCAUUUCUCCAAGGGUAACAAAGCUGAACGCCUGCUUAGCUUAUGAACCCUCAGUUGGCCUAGGUGGUGCAAAGACCCUGCUGUUACUGCUUUGAUCAUCAGUACUGUGGACUGUACCAGGAGAUCCCUGGGAAUGUGCUCUGGGCGGAAGCAGCUUUUAUCUUUGGCCCUCACCCAUGCUUUAUAUGGUGAGGUUGGGAAAAUGGCACAAGGCUUCUCCUGAACCUCAAAUCAACACCCUUGCCCCAUUUAGAUCCUAUCUGGCUGUUUCUUGCUAAUAUUACUGCAUCACUGCACCAUCUUUCCUAUUUCAGCAAA